RNAcentral lists this ribosomal RNA (253 nucleotides) under uncultured bacterium. RNAcentral describes it as "partial 16S ribosomal RNA". It matches the Rfam family "Bacterial small subunit ribosomal RNA", at positions 524 to 776 of the family's 1533-position model. The record is from RNAcentral.
UACGAAGGGGGCUAGCGUUGUUCGGAAUUACUGGGCGUAAAGCGCGUGUAGGCGGGGCUUUAAGUCAGGGGGGAAAUGCCAAGGCUCAACCUUGGAACUGCCUUUGAUACUGGAGAUCUUGAGUCCGAGAGAGGUGAGUGGAAUUGCGAGUGUAGAGGUGAAAUUCGUAGAUAUUCGCAAGAACACCAGUGGCGAAGGCGGCUCACUGGCUCGGAACUGACGCUGAGACGCGAAAGCGUGGGGAGCGAACGGG